GCUUCAGUGCCAACGGAAUUGGAUCUUCAGUCAUGGUCCCCACUCACAUACCAGAAAUUGCCUAUUCCUACAUCAAGAUCACCUCCAGUAUCCUCCACGCCUGUGAGCUCUGGCAAGAGGCUGAAGCCCUAGCCAGUACAAAUAAGGAUUUUUUUGCUGAACUCAGCACAACGACCUGCACUCUGGCCUUGAACAGCAGCGUGAGGCAGCUGGUCUACUAUGCCAGGCAAGGUUUAGAGAGGCUGAGGCUGGAGACAAAUACUCCUUAAGUGCAGCACAGGGCGAUGAGCUUUGAAAGGGUACGGUGGGCAAGAACAUGGUGGAGAAAGUUUAUCUUCAGACAAGACUUUGUGGCAAAAGGACCAAUGCAGUUCCAUUACAUGACAGAACAAAAUUAAACACUCAAGUUUCUGGAAUUACCUACCUCUUGUAUACAGUCAUUUUCCUCUGUGACAGAGACAGCAGCAGCUGCACAGUCUAGUGUAGUCAGACAAUAGUUUGUUGGCUGCAUAUGAAUUACAGAGCAUCUUGAAAUGUGCUUUAACUAUGCCUGAAAAAUAGAACACUCAAGUAAAAUAAAGAGGUUAGUGCAGCAGAAA
Long non-coding RNA from Pogoniulus pusillus (Red-fronted tinkerbird), 599 nucleotides. RefSeq lists it as uncharacterized. NCBI's taxonomy places the organism in Eukaryota, Metazoa, Chordata, Aves, Piciformes, Lybiidae. The record is from RefSeq and is a predicted model, not a curated record. The transcript is spliced from 3 exons.